This 783-nucleotide ribosomal RNA is filed under the name uncultured organism. RNAcentral's name for it is "bacterial SSU rRNA". It matches the Rfam family "Bacterial small subunit ribosomal RNA", at positions 581 to 1377 of the family's 1533-position model. The record is from RNAcentral.
AGGUAAGUCGGUCGUGAAAGCCCCGUGCUCAACGCGGGGAGGCCAAGCGAUACUGCGUGACUUGAGGGCGGAAGAGGGGAGUGGAAUUCCCGGUGUACCGGUAAAACGCGCAGAUAUCGGGAGGAACACCAGUGGCGAAGCCGGCUCCCUGGACCGCACCUGACGCUCAGAGGCGAAAGCUAGGGGAGCGAACAGGAUGAGAGACCCUGGUAGUCCUAGCCCUAAACGCUGGAUGCUAGGUGUAGGGCUGAUGAGGCUCUGUGCCGGAGCGAACGCGAUAAGCAUCCCGCCUGGGAACUACGGCCGCAAGGCUAAAACUCAAACGAAGUGACGGGGACCCGCACAAGCAGCGGAGCGUGUGGUUUAAUUCGAUGCUACACGAAGAACCUUACCUGGGUUUGACAUGCUGGUGGUACCGAACCGAAAGGGGAGGGACCAUUAGGGGAGCCUACACAGGUGCUGCAUGGCCGUCGUCAGCUCGUGCCGUGAGGUGUCGGGUUAAGUCCCGUAACGAGCGCAACCGUUGAUCUUAGUUAUACGUGUCUAAGGGGACUGCCGGCGACAAGCCGGAGGAAGGUGGGGAUGACGUCAAGUCAGCAUGGCCUGGAUAUCCAGGGCUACACACACGCUACAAUGGCCGGUACAAAGGGCAGCCAAGCCGCGAGGUGGAGCGAAUCCCAGCAAAGCCGGUCCCAGUUCGGAUGGCAGGCUGCAACCCAGCCUGCAUGAAGUUGGAGUUGCUAGUAACCGCGCGUCAGCCAUAGUGCGGUGAUACGUACCCGG